Molecule: ribosomal RNA, 647 nt
Filed under: Pseudomonas putida
Lineage: Bacteria; Pseudomonadati; Pseudomonadota; Gammaproteobacteria; Pseudomonadales; Pseudomonadaceae
Description: bacterial SSU rRNA
Rfam family: Bacterial small subunit ribosomal RNA
Source: RNAcentral
AGAGUUUGAUCCUGGCUCAGAUUGAACGCUGGCGGCAGGCCUAACACAUGCAAGUCGAGCGGAUGAGUGGAGCUUGCUCCAUGAUUCAGCGGCGGACGGGUGAGUAAUGCCUAGGAAUCUGCCUGGUAGUGGGGGACAACGUUUCGAAAGGAACGCUAAUACCGCAUACGUCCUACGGGAGAAAGCAGGGGACCUUCGGGCCUUGCGCUAUCAGAUGAGCCUAGGUCGGAUUAGCUAGUUGGUGAGGUAAAGGCUCACCAAGGCGACGAUCCGUAACUGGUCUGAGAGGAUGAUCAGUCACACUGGAACUGAGACACGGUCCAGACUCCUACGGGAGGCAGCAGUGGGGAAUAUUGGACAAUGGGCGAAAGCCUGAUCCAGCCAUGCCGCGUGUGUGAAGAAGGUCUUCGGAUUGUAAAGCACUUUAAGUUGGGAGGAAAGGGCAGUAAGUUAAUACCUUGCUGUUUUGACGUUACCGACAGAAUAAGCACCGGCUAACUUCGUGCCAGCAGCCGCGGUAAUACGAAGGAAGUGCAAGCGUUAAUCGGAAUUACUGAACGUAAAGCGCGCGUAGGUGGUUCAGCAAGUUGGAUGUGAAAGCCCCGGGCUCAACCUGGGAACUGCAUCCAAAACUACUGAGCUAGAGU